Molecule: long non-coding RNA, 808 nt
Organism: Hydra vulgaris (swiftwater hydra)
Lineage: Eukaryota; Metazoa; Cnidaria; Hydrozoa; Anthoathecata; Hydridae
Source: RefSeq, a predicted model, not a curated record
CUCAAAUGUUAUCGGCAAGAAAUUUUACGUUCUAACGCAUGCUUGUGAGGGGGAAAAUAAGCAAAAGUCGAACUUCUUAUUUUUGUUGAACUUAAUUUCUAUGUUUUUGUUGGUUAUUUUACUGUUAUUCCUAGAAUUUGCAAUUCACCAAGCAAAAAGUCACAAUAUCAAGCUAAAGACAUACAGGUUUUAGAAAACAUUCAGCAAAAAACUACAAACAUAAUUUUUUUGAUAUUAAAACUGGUAUACAAAGAUAGACUCAAAGCACUAGGAUAUACCUCUCUGACUGAAAAAGUAUUCAUAGUGAUAUGACACAACAUUUUAAAAUAGUAGGUUGGAGUGAUGUCAUUAACUGGCAUCACCCACCAAAGUAGCUUCCCUCUUUUCUUUGUGAUGGAUCUGCUGGCAGUACUCGUGUUCAUGCUAUUUGAAUAAGUGUCAACUGGCAAAGCAUUGCAAACAGGCAAAAUUUCUUCACCAAUCGUUUAGUUGAACAUUGGAACUUUUUGCCAGAGCAAAUCAUUGAUGCUCCUGGAUUGAGAAAUUUUAGAAAGCAAUCAUAUUGUGAGGAGAAACAUUACAGGCUGAGUACUGUUAUUCAAAAUGUGUCAACAUGAGCAUUAUGGUUUCCGUUGGUAGCCUUUGCUUGUCUUGGAUUUUGAAAAUAACACUUAAUUUUUUAUUAAUAUACAUUGUAUAUAACCAACUUUAAGUUCUGCACAGGAAUGCUGAUACCAUUCCUUCCACAAACCUUUUUUGUAAAAUAACUUGUUCAGAAAAUAUCUAAUAAUAAAUUCUUCGCAUUUUA